RNAcentral lists this microRNA precursor (84 nucleotides) under Bombyx mori (domestic silkworm). Its description in RNAcentral is "mir-2807 microRNA precursor family". It matches the Rfam family "mir-2807 microRNA precursor family". The record is from Rfam by way of RNAcentral. Lineage: Eukaryota; Metazoa; Arthropoda; Insecta; Lepidoptera; Bombycidae.
UUAACUCAAAUUUGUAUGCAGUUGGAACAUUUGCCUACGUUUGCCGCUAGGGGCGCUGUUCCAACUGCAUACAAAUUUGAGUUA